RNAcentral lists this ribosomal RNA (549 nucleotides) under uncultured bacterium. RNAcentral describes it as "bacterial SSU rRNA". It matches the Rfam family "Bacterial small subunit ribosomal RNA", at positions 355 to 896 of the family's 1533-position model. The record is from RNAcentral.
UGGGGAAUUUUGGACAAUGGGCGCAAGCCUAAUCCAGCCAUGCCGCGUGUCUGAAGAAGGCCUUCGGGUUGUAAAGGACUUUUGUCAGGGAAGAAAAGGCUGUUGCUAAUACCGACAGCUGAUGACGGUACCUGAAGAAUAAGCACCGGCUAACUACGUGCCAGCAGCCGCGGUAAUACGUAGGGUGCGAGCGUUAAUCGGAAUUACUGGGCGUAAAGCGAGCGCAGACGGUUACUUAAGCAGGAUGUGAAAUCCCCGGGCUCAACCUGGGAACUGCGUUCUGAACUGGGUGACUAGAGUGUGUCAGAGGGAGGUAGAAUUCCACGUGUAGCAGUGAAAUGCGUAGAGAUGUGGAGGAAUACCGAUGGCGAAGGCAGCCUCCUGGGAUAACACUGACGUUCAUGCUCGAAAGCGUGGGUAGCAAACAGGAUUAGAUACCCUGGUAGUCCACGCCCUAAACGAUGUCAAUUAGCUGUUGGGCAACUUGAUUGCUUAGUAGCGUAGCUAACGCGUGAAAUUGACCGCCUGGGGAGUACGGUCGCAAGAUUA